Molecule: long non-coding RNA, 2028 nt
Organism: Bactrocera dorsalis (oriental fruit fly)
Lineage: Eukaryota; Metazoa; Arthropoda; Insecta; Diptera; Tephritidae
Exons: 2
Source: RefSeq, a predicted model, not a curated record
UUUAAUAUUUCUUUGCAUGUUUUUAUUAUAUAUUUUAUUUAACUAAACUAACUACUCAUAUAUGCUUCUCCUCUUUUAUAUGGAAUUAUAAUAAAAUAUUUUCAAGCGAUUGUCACGAACAUAUGCGAAAUAUAUUUAAAUACAAGCAUUAUUUCUAAAAAAUUUUAAGGAAAAGCCACAAAAUUAUUAUUGCAGAUUUAGAUUUGUCAUCACUGUUCCAUAGAAAAAAUAGGUCAAUAAAAAUUUCAAUAUGUAGCAGACUUAUUAAUCUAACGAUUGCCUGCAAUAAACUAAAAUUAAUGGAGCGCUUUCCGCAGACUCACAUACAUAAACAGAAAUUCACGCUAGGCACAGAACAUUACUGAGGAUGAAAAAAGAUGAUUAUUUACUAAAUGUAAAUAAAGCAGAGUCUAUCGCACUUGUACUUAAGAUCUUUUAUUAAAAUUAUUUUUUUGAAUAUAUGUUUAAGUAACCUUUCAAAAUUUUUGCAAUUUUUAUUGACAAGGUACAGUGAGUGUAUGCUAAUAUUAAUAUAAUCUGGUAUUCUUGCCAGAGAACACACAUAAAAUGGGUUACUUAGAAACACACACAGCGUCUAUACUCAGUACUAAUUGAACAAUUAAGAUAUUAAAUCAUGAUAAAAUAAAAAUACAAGAGCAUAAUGCAAACAGGUAUAUAAUCGCUUAAGUUUAUUAACAUAUCUUUACUAAUAGAGAUAUAUAAGUAUGUAUAUGCAUCAUAAACUCAAAAUGAAAAUGAAAUUUUAUAUGUACAUUAUCAAAAUAUGUACAUAUCAAAAUUUUGUUGAGAGUUACGAAAAAAAAAAAAUUGUGCCAAUAUUUGAGCCCUUUUUCUUCAUUUUUCAGUUAGCGCUCGCAAAAGUAAGAAUUUUCGUCAAAAAAUACUUUUUUUCAUUCAUUUUUUGGUUAUAGAUAAUUUAAAAUACCAAAUAUAAAAAAACCCUUGGUAUGGUUUUGUAGGAAAUUAAAUUCUCUACAAAAAUUAUCCUUUCUCGAAUUCAUAGAAUCAACACCGUUUUUUAUUGCUCAUUCAAUUACAAUUUUUAUUUUCAAUUAUUGAUAAACACUUAUUAAACUUCUUUUCAACGAAAAAAACAACAAACUAAAUCAAUUUUUCUAGCAAUGUUUAUGAUCUAAAUCAAAGUGUAUUUAACAAAGUGAACUAAGUAUAUGACAUUUAAUUUUUCUUUACGCUUAUUUGACAUGAAUGUUGUCAUUGACUUAACCCUUACAUUUAUUCAAAAAAUUCAAAUUCAGAAAUUCAAAAGUAAGCAAAUUUCAAAACGAAAAACAAUAUUUUUUUAAAUAACUGAAAUAAAUGCCGAAUACUUGUUGCCUAUGCAAAACAACUCAUGGAAGCAACUUACCAAUGUUUUGUGCUCCAACUGACAAAUCGCAACGGAAGGAAUGGGAAAAAGUACGUGGCGUACAACUCAGUUUGUCAUCGAGAAUAUGUGGGCUACAUUUUAAGGCGGAGGAAAUAAAAGAAUCUCCCCUUAAAAGAAUACGACUAAGCCCCGAUGCAGUACCCUCAUUAAACUUACUUCCCAAUCUUCAAGAAAAAAAAGUCUCAAGACAAACUUGUUUGCGCGAAAAUGAAUGAACUAUAUGAAAGAAUUAUAAUAACUAUUAUAAUUUAAAGAGUCGCAUAAACAUCUGUAUACAGUUUCUAAUAGUUUGGCGGGGUACUGGUUACGACGUAUAUAUACAUAUAUAGUUACAAUAAAAUUUGUGAAUAAUGUUGCAUUUAUACACGUAUGUAAGUGUUUGUAAAAUAAAUAUGAAUUCAUUAUAACGUUGAGAACAAAUAAAUUGGUUGUCUCUAUUUCUAUUACGUUUAAAUUUAUCAUAUAUAUGUAUGUAAAGCAAGUGGCUUCAUAUUGUUCAAGAUCAAAAAAAAAAACACACGGGUUAAUAUAAACAAAUACAUGAAUUGUUUACUAUUUUAUUGUCAAAUAAGCGUAAGUCAAAUACUUAGUUCACUUUGUUGAAUACACUUUGAUCUAAA